Molecule: long non-coding RNA, 280 nt
Filed under: Cicer arietinum (chickpea)
Lineage: Eukaryota; Viridiplantae; Streptophyta; Magnoliopsida; Fabales; Fabaceae
Description: long non-coding RNA (CARI_LNC003091)
Source: RNAcentral
ACACCAUCUUUGGCUAACAAAUAAGCUGAAAGCAAAGCAAUAACUCCAACACACCAACCACUAAUUCACUUCAAUUCAACAGUAAUUUGUCAAAGACUAAUCAGUUUUGGUAUUAAAAACAAAAGGAUCGAUAGUCAUUCAUUUCAAUUCAUCACUAAUUUCAAUUCGGAAGUCUUUUCGCUAGAUUUCUUUUUUUUUUUUACCAAUUUUCUUAGUUUCCUAAUUUAUGUAGUUUCCAAUAUAAAAAUAUUAAUCUUGUAUACAUAUAAUUAAUUGUGUU